Long non-coding RNA from Macaca fascicularis (crab-eating macaque), 1776 nucleotides. The record is from Ensembl. NCBI's taxonomy places the organism in Eukaryota, Metazoa, Chordata, Mammalia, Primates, Cercopithecidae.
UAAAAAAAAAAAGAAAUGUUGUUUAACUUUCUUUGAUUCAUGUUUGCAUGAAAGUAUGCUUUUUUAUUUAUUUAUUUAUUUUGAGAGUCUCACUCUGUCACCCAGGCUGGAGUGCAGUGCACUACUGGGCUCAAGCGAUCCUCCAACAUCAGCCUCCUAAGUAGGUGGGACCACAGGCUCAUGCCACCACACCCAGCUAAUUUUUUGUAUUUGUUGUAGAGAUGGGGUUUCACCACAUUGCUCAGGCUGGUUUCAAACUCAUGGGCUCAAGAGAUGCUUAGUUUUGAACUCCCAAAGUGCUAGGAUUGCAGAUGUGAGCCAGCAUGCCUAUAUUAAUUUUGUUUUGGGUGGGAGGGUUGAGAAAAUCACUUUAUUCUAAUUAACUCUCAAACAAUAAAAUUACAGCAGCUGGUUUAAGGAAACCACAGAAAUAUUUGUCCAGCGCAAAAUUCUAUACCAUCUCGGUGAAAUUCUAUACAGUGAGAACACCCUCUUCCAUUGUAAUUCUGAAGCAGGAAAGAUAUGAAUGACAGAGGAGAAUUUUAACUGAUGGUUUUAUACUUUAUACCUUUAUUGUCAAUUAUAUUUUAUGCUAAAUUAACUUGGUCAUAAGAGCCAUUUUCAUUUCUUCAGUUUGGACUUGAUUAGGCUAUUCCAUUUGCAAAUCUGCACUGUUUCAACACUUCAUUGAAACCUCACAGAGUUUUAUGUCAUCCUGGUUCUGGGCAUGCUCCAAAAACCGUUUGAUCUCAGAAGCAAGGCCGCUGCUGCUGUGCUGGCUGGGUUCCCUGAGGUUCGUGGCCUCAGGAAAUGGGUAGAAAUCACAGGACAAUCUCUUUUCCCACCAAAAAAGUUGCAUAUUUUGGUAAGUGUUUGUCCUAGAGGGAAAAAACUGAAAUUUACAUUAGCAGUGCUGUGCAAGAUUCUUACAUAAAUCAAGACCUAAAAGCAGCUUGCAGUGGAGGUUUUGGUCCCCUGUUCAGGUGCUUGGACAGAAGCCAUAAGCUGGUGAGCAUGACAAGGAAAAGGAGGCAGUGAAGACAGGUGACAGGCACCUAGCAGGGAAGGAGGAUUCAGGUGUGCCAGACUCCUUGGAAUGGGGUGUUGUUUUUCCUUUUUUUUUAAAUCUCUGUAGGAAGGUGCUGGGUAGGGAUCCCAGAGAAAGAAAGGGUCCAAUACUUCUUUAACUGCCCUGGAUGAAGGGCACUGCUGUAGCAGCUAGUAUCGGAGACUCUCCUAUCUCAUGGUUGAGGCAGAACUAGGAUAGAAUAGUGAAUAAAAGGAAUGCUUAUAGGAAACCAUUUUGCGUGGAAUGCUAGAUGGCCAAGCCUCAGCCUUCAGUCCAGUGUAACCCUUGCCUCACUUGUCAAUAGUGAAAAAUUAGUUUGGUUAGAAGAACCAGCUGGAAACACACCAGCUUCUGCUAUCUUCAUGCUCAUCGUUAGAAAAAGAUAACCAGUGUGAACAUUCUGAUCUGUUAAUUCCUUGGAUUGUUUUCCUCCCAAUGGACUGUUUGUUGGUAGAAUAACCUCCAAAACUCAAAGCUAAAAUGCAUCAUUUUAGCCUGGUCGGCAGUUCCUUAAGAAUGGACUGGUGGCAUGGUUGAGCUAAUAUGGAAAAGCUACACCUUCCUGCAGAAGAUCACCUGACCUGCUAUGCCACUGCAAAUCUCAGCCUGAGGUAUAAUUCAGUGAAGGCAGGUAGCUGUGCUUCUCAGAGCAGAGAAGCAGUUUUAAGAGCAGAAAGGUAGAGGAAAUCUAGAAAAGAACCGUCUUG